GAUGAACGCUGGCGGUAUGCUUAACACAUGCAAGUCGAACGGACUCUUCGGAGUUAGUGGCGGACGGGUGAGUAACGCGUGAGAAUCUGGCUUUGGGUUCGGGACAACCACUGGAAACGGUGGCUAAUACCGGAUGUGCCGAGAGGUAAAAGAGAAAUUGCCUGAAGAUGAGCUCGCGUCUGAUUAGCUAGUUGGUGAGGUAAAGGCUCACCAAGGCAGCGAUCAGUAGCUGGUCUGAGAGGAUGACCAGCCACACGGGGACUGAGACACGGCCCAGACCCCUACGGGAGGCAGCAGUGGAGAAUUUUCCGCAAUGGGCGAAAGACUGACGGAGCAAUACCGCGUGAGGGAAGAAGGCUCUUGGGUUGUAAACCUCUUUUCUUAGGGAAGAACAAAAUGACGGUACCUAAGGAAUCAGCAUCGGCUAACUCCGUG
RNAcentral lists this ribosomal RNA (435 nucleotides) under uncultured bacterium. RNAcentral describes it as "partial 16S ribosomal RNA". It matches the Rfam family "Bacterial small subunit ribosomal RNA", at positions 28 to 507 of the family's 1533-position model. The record is from RNAcentral.